UACGUAGGGCGCAAGCGUUGUCCGGAAUUAUUGGGCGUAAAGAGCUCGUAGGCGGCCUGUUGCGUCCGCUGUGAAAUCCCGGGGCUCAACCCCGGGCCUGCAGUGGAUACGGGCUGGCUAGAGGCAGGCAGGGGAGAACGAAAUUCCUGGUGUAGCGGUGAAAUGCGCAGAUAUCAGGAGGAACACCGGUGGCGAAGGCGGUUCUCUGGGGCUGUACUGACGCUGAGGAGCGAAAGCGUGGGGAGCGAUCCGG
This 253-nucleotide ribosomal RNA is filed under the name uncultured bacterium. RNAcentral describes it as "partial 16S ribosomal RNA". It matches the Rfam family "Bacterial small subunit ribosomal RNA", at positions 524 to 776 of the family's 1533-position model. The record is from RNAcentral.